RNAcentral lists this ribosomal RNA (255 nucleotides) under uncultured bacterium. RNAcentral describes it as "partial 16S ribosomal RNA". It matches the Rfam family "Bacterial small subunit ribosomal RNA", at positions 524 to 777 of the family's 1533-position model. The record is from RNAcentral.
UACGUAGGGACCAAGCGUUGUUCGGAUUUACUGGGCGUAAAGGGCGCGUAGGCGGCGUGGUAAGUCACUUGUGAAAUCUCUGAGCUUAACUCAGAACGGCCAAGUGAUACUGCUGUGCUAGAGUGCAGAAGGGGCAAUCGGAAUUCUUGGUGUAGCGGUGAAAUGCGUAGAUAUCAAGAGGAACACCUGAGGUGAAGACGGGGUUGCUGGGCUGACACUGACGCUGAGGCGCGAAAGCCAGGGGAGCAAAACGGG